RNAcentral lists this ribosomal RNA (539 nucleotides) under uncultured bacterium. RNAcentral describes it as "bacterial SSU rRNA". It matches the Rfam family "Bacterial small subunit ribosomal RNA", at positions 356 to 896 of the family's 1533-position model. The record is from RNAcentral.
GAGGAAUAUUGGUCAAUGGACGAAAGUCUGAACCAGCCAAGUAGCGUGCAGGAUGACGGCCCUCCGGGUUGUAAACUGCUUUUAGUUGGGAAUAAAAAAAGGGACGUGUCCCUUAUUGUAUGUACCUUCAGAAAAAGGACCGGCUAGUUCCGUGCCAGCAGCCGCGGUAAUACGGAAGGUCCAGGCGUUAUCCGGAUUUAUUGGGUUUAAAGGGAGCGUAGGCGGAUUGUUAAGUCAGCGGUUAAAGGGUGUGGCUCAACCAUACAUUGCCGUUGAAACUGGCGAUCUUGAGUGCAGACAGGGAUGCCGGAAUUCGUGGUGUAGCGGUGAAAUGCUUAGAUAUCACGAAGAACUCCGAUCGCGAAGGCAGGUGUCCGGGCUGCAACUGACGCUGAGGCUCGAAAGUGUGGGUAUCAAACAGGAUUAGAUACCCUGGUAGUCCACACAGUAAACGAUGUAUACUCGCGGUUUGCGAUAGACAGUAAGCCGCCAAGCGAAAGCAUUAAGUAUACCACCUGGGGAGUACGCCGGCAACGGUG